AGAGUUUGAUCCUGGCUCAGAAUCAACGCUGGCGGCGCGCUUAACACAUGCAAGUCGCACGAGAAAGCAGUAGCAAUACUGUGAGUAAAGUGGCGUACGGGUGAGUAACACGUGGAUCAUCUACCUUCUAGUGGGGAAUACCUCCGGGAAACUGGAGACAAUACCGCAUAAGCUCGUAAGAGGAAAGCAGCAAUGCGCUGGAAGAGGAGUCCGCGGCUGAUUAGCUAGUUGGCGGGGUAAUGGCCCACCAAGGCGAAGAUCGGUAGCCGGCCUGAGAGGGCACACGGCCACACUGGCACUGAAACACGGGCCAGACUCCUACGGGAGGCAGCAGUGGGGAAUCUUGCACAAUGGAGGAAACUCUGAUGCAGCGACGCCGCGUGAGCGAUGAAGCCCUUCGGGGUGUAAAGCUCUUUCGACGGGAACGAUAAUGACGGUACCCGAAGAAGAAGCUGCGGCUAACUACGUGCCAGCAGCCGCGGUAAUACGUAGGCAGCAAGCGUUGUUCGGAAUUACUGGGCGUAAAGAGUGUGUAGGCGGUGCUCCAAGUCUGGUGUGAAAUCUCCCGGCUCAACUGGGAGGGUGCGCUAGAAACUGGAAUGCUAGAGGAUGGGAGAGGUAAGCGGAAUUCCUGGUGUAGCGGUGAAAUGCGUAGAUAUCAGGAGGAACACCUGUGGUGUAGACAGCUUACUGGACCAUUUCUGACGCUGAGACACGAAAGCGUGGGUAGCAAACAGGAUUAGAUACCCUGGUAGUCCACGCUGUAAACGAUGGAUGCUAGCCGUUGGGGAGCUUGCUCUUCAGUGGCGCAGCUAACGCUUUAAGCAUCCCGCCUGGGGAGUACGGUCGCAAGGUUAAAACUCAAAGGAAUUGACGG
This 877-nucleotide ribosomal RNA is filed under the name uncultured bacterium. RNAcentral describes it as "bacterial SSU rRNA". It matches the Rfam family "Bacterial small subunit ribosomal RNA", at positions 8 to 916 of the family's 1533-position model. The record is from RNAcentral.